RNAcentral lists this long non-coding RNA (338 nucleotides) under Daucus carota (carrot). RNAcentral describes it as "long non-coding RNA (DCAR_LNC006835)". The record is from RNAcentral. Lineage: Eukaryota; Viridiplantae; Streptophyta; Magnoliopsida; Apiales; Apiaceae.
ACAUCUGGAUCUAAGCAAAGACCAGUGACUGGAUCAGACAAACCCAUGACUGAUGAAGAGCUUGCUAGAUUGAUUUUUGAACAAGAAAAUCCAGAAGCAAAUUUGGAUUUGGAGUUGAUUGCUGCAGAAGAAGAAGAACUAAAGAAAGAACAUGCUGAAGCAGUAAAGUCAGGAAAAAUCCAAAAGCCUGCAAAGUCAACUACCAAGCCAAAAGAAAAAGGAAUACUGAUCAAAGAAGCUACUGUUGCUGAUCAGAGUUUACCAAUCAAGAAGGUAUACUCUGAAGAUGAAUACACCUCCAAGGGUAAAAGCAAAGUAGAUGAACGUCUGGAGAAAGG